GUGCUCACUUCAGCAGUACAUAUGCUAAAACUGGACCUAUACAAAGAAGAUUAGCAUGGCCCCUGUGCAAGGAUGACACAAAAAUUCGGGGAGCAUUGCAUAUUUUU
This is a small nuclear RNA of Hippopotamus amphibius kiboko, 107 nucleotides long. The record is from RefSeq and is a predicted model, not a curated record. NCBI's taxonomy places the organism in Eukaryota, Metazoa, Chordata, Mammalia, Artiodactyla, Hippopotamidae.